RNAcentral lists this ribosomal RNA (374 nucleotides) under uncultured organism. Its description in RNAcentral is "partial 16S ribosomal RNA". It matches the Rfam family "Bacterial small subunit ribosomal RNA", at positions 527 to 896 of the family's 1533-position model. The record is from RNAcentral.
GUAGGUGGCGAGCGUUGUCCGGAAUUAUUGGGCGUAAAGCGCGCGCAGGCGGUUCUUUAAGUCUGAUGUGAAAGCCCACGGCUCAACCGUGGAGGGUCAUUGGAAACUGGAGAACUUGAGUACAGAAGAGGAAAGCGGAAUUCCACGUGUAGCGGUGAAAUGCGUAGAGAUGUGGAGAAACACCAGUGGCGAAGGCGGCUUUCUGGUCUGUAACUGACGCUGAGGCGCGAAAGCGUGGGGAGCAAACAGGAUUAGAUACCCUGGUAGUCCACGCCGUAAACGAUGAGUGCUAAGUGUUAGGGGGGUUUCCGCCCCCCUUAGUGCUGCAGCUAACGCAUUAAGCACUCCGCCCUGGGAGUACGGCCGCAAGGCUG